GACGAACGCUGGCGGCGUGCUUAACACAUGCAAGUCGAACGGGCCUGUCUUCUUUUUUGGGGGUGGGUUGAGUGGCGAACGGGUGAGUAUCACGUGAGUAACCUGCCCUUCGGUCCUGGAUAACCGCUUGAAAGGGCGGCUAAUACGGGGUGGUCCGGUUGGUCCGCAUGGGCUGGUCGGGAUAGAUUCACUGUUUUUGGUGUUUCGGCGGGGGAUGGGCUCGCGGCCUAUCAGCUUGUUGGUGGGGUGAUGGCCUACCAAGGCGGUGACGGGUAGCCGGCCUGAGAGGGUGGGCGGCCACACUGGGACGGAGAUACGGCCCAGACUCCUGCGGGAGGCAGCAGUGGGGGGUAUUGCACAAUGGGCGGAAGCCUGAUGCAGCGACGUCGCGUGAGGGAUGGAGGCCUUCGGGUUGUGAACCUCUGUUUCCGGUGGUGAAGGCCCUGUCCGUGUGGUGGGGUUGACGGUAGCCGGGGAUGAAGCGCCGGCUAACUACGUG
RNAcentral lists this ribosomal RNA (499 nucleotides) under uncultured bacterium. RNAcentral's name for it is "partial 16S ribosomal RNA". It matches the Rfam family "Bacterial small subunit ribosomal RNA", at positions 28 to 507 of the family's 1533-position model. The record is from RNAcentral.